UUCAGUUUUAUUGGUUGCACGCACAGUCAGUUAUUUCAUCCAGAAAAUCUGAAGGCCCUACAAACUAACCAGAACAGUAAGGGUUGAAACUGAAGGCCGAUUGUGAAUACUAUCCACCGGGAGCUUCUUAUGAAUUGACUCAUGUUCCUCAGAUAAUAAAUAACACUAAAAGACACCAGUUAGCUUCUGACCUCAAGGAGUGCUACUUUCAUCUCCUGCAAGCUUUGAAAAGGGAUCUGAUACCUGACAACAUCUUGACAAAAGCACAUCCCAUCUUCUGAUGGAAGCUGAACCAAAAUUAUUGAUGUCGCUAGUGAUUCAGGGUACUCUAGAUUGUUUGGAGUCCUAUAUAAAUACAUUUAAUAGACAAAAAAAUUGCUGCCUUAAUCUAAGCAGAAAUGACCUUAGUAGAUAGAUACUGCUUACCCCACUGAUGCAUUAGAGCUAUACUAGUUCUACUCCUAAUUCUUGAGAAGCUGUGUUUUCUCUAAUUUAUUUCCUUUUUGAUCUUCACCUAUAGUUUUGCUAGGCUUAUUUGUAACUUCUGUAUCCAUAAAUAAAUAAUCGCUGUGGCUUUAGCAUUAAAUAAUAUCUAUCUAUUUAAUAUUUUGAGUCAUCAUUUUUAUUGUGGCUAAUGAUAAUGACUGGGAAU
RNAcentral lists this long non-coding RNA (652 nucleotides) under Homo sapiens (human). RNAcentral describes it as "non-protein coding LINC02488:3". The record is from RNAcentral. Lineage: Eukaryota; Metazoa; Chordata; Mammalia; Primates; Hominidae.